AUUUAAAUAGUUUAAGUAAAAUUUUGAUUUGUGGGGUCAAAGAUAUAAAGGGUUUUAUUUUAAAUA
RNAcentral lists this transfer RNA (66 nucleotides) under Scolytoplatypus skyliuae. RNAcentral's name for it is "tRNA-His". The record is from RNAcentral. Lineage: Eukaryota; Metazoa; Arthropoda; Insecta; Coleoptera; Curculionidae.